Sapajus apella (tufted capuchin) is the source of this 1145-nucleotide long non-coding RNA. RefSeq lists it as uncharacterized. The transcript has 2 exons. Lineage: Eukaryota; Metazoa; Chordata; Mammalia; Primates; Cebidae. The record is from RefSeq and is a predicted model, not a curated record.
UUUGUUUAUUAGCUAACAACUAACAUUGUUACUUAUUUUAAACAUUUGGAUUGACCACAAAUGAAAGAAAUUUGGAUUAGCUUCCUUUAUGAAAUGCUCUAUUGAGUUCUGUGAAUUGGUGCAUAUUGUGUAACUAAAGUUUUAAGAGUACAGAUUUUGGACACAAAAUGUCUAUGGAUUCCAGCUUGAUAAUUUCAGCUAUAUAACUUUUGUAAUGUACAAAUCAAGCUCUUUACAAAUGGGAUAAUAAUUGUAUCUAACCCACCUAGAAUCGUUAUUACAGUAAAAUGAGUGAAUUUGUAUGUUUGUAAGAAAUAUAUUCUUAGUAGAUACUCUAAAAUAUGUGUAUAUUAAAAAUAAAAACAUUUUUAAAAUUUAAAUUAUUUUAAAAGCAUCUUUUGUAUAUUAUGUCUGAUAUGUAUUAAUGAGUUAAAUUAGUUAAUAUGCAAAGCCUAGAACAGUACUUGGCAUAUAAUAAAUACUGAGCAUUUGUCCUCAUUCUUGUUUUAAAUGGACUUUUCUAGCCCCCUUCUUCUGCACUUUAUUUAGGCUUGUUUUUCCAUAUCUGUAUGUAACUUCUCCACCGCGCUCGGCCAAUUAUUCCACAUUCUUUCUUCCCACACACAUUUCAUCACAAUUAGGCUAAUGCUGUCACCUCCAUGCAGGUAAAAUUCACAAGUAUGUCUCCAGUCCUGGUUCUAUCUUAUUACCGCAGCCUCUUCAUGAUCUGUCUCUGUCCUAGUUCUUAAUAUCUGCCCUACUUCUCUGGCCUUUAGCCUAGAACAGUAACACAUGAAGUUAACUUUCUCCAAAUCUCUGCUUUGAAAAAUAAUUUUAAUUUCCCAAACCUCUGAUUGCUUAUUGUCUUUGAAUAUAUGUGCAACUUUCUUAUUAAAGGAAGUUGGCCUUACCAAAGGCCCAUUGCAGUCUUAUUCUGAUUUAUCUGUUUUUUAACCUCUUAUUUUGGAGGAUUUCAAAUAUAAAUAGUGUAAUAAACUGUAAUGUACACAUUAUCAAUCAUGGCCAGUCUCGUUUUCAUCUAUAACCCUAUCCAUUCCCCCCUUGUAUUAUUUGAAACAUAUCUAGAUAUUAUCAUUUCAUCCAUAAAUACUUAAGUAUACAAUAUCUGAAAGCAAGUGACUCUU